This 484-nucleotide ribosomal RNA is filed under the name uncultured bacterium. Its description in RNAcentral is "partial 16S ribosomal RNA". It matches the Rfam family "Bacterial small subunit ribosomal RNA", at positions 30 to 507 of the family's 1533-position model. The record is from RNAcentral.
AUUGAACGCUGGCGGCAGGCCUAACACAUGCAAGUCGAGCGGAUGAAGGGAGCUUGCUCCUGGAUUCAGCGGCGGACGGGUGAGUAAUGCCUAGGAAUCUGCCUGGUAGUGGGGGAUAACGUCCGGAAACGGGCGCUAAUACCGCAUACGUCCUGAGGGAGAAAGUGGGGGAUCUUCGGACCUCACGCUAUCAGAUGAGCCUAGGUCGGAUUAGCUAGUUGGUGGGGUAAAGGCCUACCAAGGCGACGAUCCGUAACUGGUCUGAGAGGAUGAUCAGUCACACUGGAACUGAGACACGGUCCUGACUCCUACGGGAGGCAGCAGUGGGGAAUAUUGGACAAUGGGCGAAAGCCUGAUCCAGCCAUGCCGCGUGUGUGAAGAAGGUCUUCGGAUUGUAAAGCACUUUAAGUUGGGAGGAAGGGCAGUAAGUUAAUACCUUGCUGUUUUGACGUUACCAUCAGAAUAAGCACCGGCUAACUUCGUG